RNAcentral lists this long non-coding RNA (444 nucleotides) under Equus caballus (horse). RNAcentral's name for it is "lncRNA (ENSECAG00000044850.1)". The record is from RNAcentral. Lineage: Eukaryota; Metazoa; Chordata; Mammalia; Perissodactyla; Equidae.
GGGAGGAGUUGGGGGAACCGGCCACGGGGUAGCAGAUAAAAGUGAAGCUGGGAAGGUAGCCUGACUGGGAAGGGCUUUGAAUGCAAUGGAAAGAAUCUGGACCCGAGGCAAUUCCAUCUCUGCCUUCCAGAUGAGGAAACAGGUUCACAGAAGUCAGGACCUUUGCUGAAGCCACAUGCACAGAGUAAUUAUGAAGGACUUUCCUCAUCCAGUGGACACAACUCAUUCAGAAGGAAGCAGUCUGUUCAACAAAAUUCUCCAGGGGAAGUUGCUCUCCCAGGUUUUGCAGCGGGUGGGGACUCUGAGCGAGUGAGACACAUUUCUACAGCUUCCAGCCUGCACAGGACCGCAAUGACAUCGCUGUUGUGAUGACGACUUACCCUUCUCAAGUGCUUAUCACCCUGGGAGGUGCUUAACUUGGCAAAGUCGACACAGAAGGACGUC